AAGAGGUCUUAGAAGGGAAAGUUUGAUUGGACUAAUUCAAGCGGUGAGGUUGAAGGUUUAGGUAGUUGGAAACUGGAGAAGCUGAAGAAUAUGGCUGGUGAGGAAGGUAGAAGUUGGGUAGAAAUGAGUCUAGAUUUAAGAGUGCCCUAGAAAGACUAGAAAGUCCCGUGGGGGAAUUUCCAGAAGCAGUUUCUAGAUGUUCGACGUAAAAACAAAACCCAGAGUGAAGAAGAAUCAAGGUUUUUCUUAACAGAUCUUAGAAAGUGAAUACAUGAAAUCAAAAAAGAGGAGAGCGUUUUUAUUGAGCUUUUGCUUAUUUUAAAUCUGUUUUAAUGAUGAUAAUACUGUUGUUAUACUCCAAUAAAGCUGGGAGACCCAGAGGGGAAGAAAAAGGAAGAGAUUUCUUAGCUAUUGUAACCAAUAAAGGCAGAGUUAAUGGUGCUAAAGGGCAUCAGACUGUGGCACCCUGAAAUGUCAUACUUCAGCAUGAUCAUUAUUUUCAGCUGAAAACAAGUCAGCAUCAACAGACGCAGGAAGAAUUCUCUAGAACUCCCCUUAUCUGCUAAAGGCAGUGCAUGAAUAUCCCUUUGUGAAGGUUUCUGCCCCCUCCCCCAACUCCUCAAUCAGGAAGGAGGGAGGGACUCUUAUCACUCGGGAUAGUCAACACCCAGAAGGGUUUGCGUAAACAGAUAACUGAAACAACCCUUAUCUUCCAUCAGUUUCCCCGUAUAUUUCCCCACACUUUGUUGACCCUUGAAACUCAAGCCCCUUCUUUGUUACAAUGGUGCUUAAACCCUGAGUCUGAGUGCUUCUCUUUGUUCUACAUCUUUUUGGUGAACUUCUGUGCAUGUAAAUAAUUUAUAAAAAUAGUGUGCC
Molecule: long non-coding RNA, 876 nt
Organism: Suricata suricatta (meerkat)
Lineage: Eukaryota; Metazoa; Chordata; Mammalia; Carnivora; Herpestidae
Exons: 3
Source: RefSeq, a predicted model, not a curated record